Molecule: unclassified non-coding RNA, 1352 nt
Filed under: uncultured soil eukaryote
Lineage: Eukaryota
Description: sequence contains 18S rRNA gene, ITS1, 5.8S rRNA gene, ITS2, 28S rRNA gene
Rfam family: Eukaryotic large subunit ribosomal RNA (bases 441-1352)
Source: RNAcentral
GGAAGGAUCAUUCUUGAAAGCAAGUGUGCUAACGUCAUGUGAAUCUCUACAUGGCUGUGAGUUGCUCACAUCAAGGCCAUGGUUCGCUGUUUACAGCGAUAGUCUUUGUUCUUAUUUCUUUAAGUCAAUCAAACUCUUAGCGAUGGAUGUCUUGGGUCCUGCUUCGAUGAAGACUGCAGCAAAGUGCAUAAAGCAAUAUGACACGCAGACUUCAAAGAAUCAUUAGAUUGUCGAACGCACAUGGCGCCCCUUCUCUUCGGAGUUCGGGCAUGUUCGGUUCAGUGUCACAUAGUCCUAUACAUUGCUCCUUCACGGGCUGCAUUGUGUGAUUGGUUGACAUACUAACACUAUGCCAACUUAAGUUAUACUAUGGGUCUAUGCCUGUCUAUAUGAAAUCUAAGUAUAGCUCCGGUAUCCUCUCCAUAGUAGUUAUAACACUCUGACCUGAUCUCGAGCAAGGCAACCCGCUGAAUUUAAGCAUAUUAAUAGGCGGAGGAAAAGAAACUAACUAGGAUUCCCUUAGUAAUGGCGAAUGAACAGGGAAAAGCUCAAACUGAAAAUCAACAGCUCCACAGGUUGUUGAAUUGUAGUCUUUUGAGACAACGCUGGGAAGACUCUGAGGGAUUAGUCCUUUGGAAGAAGGCGCUUACAUGGGUGAAAGCCCCAUAGCUCCCUCAUGCAGUCCUCCAAUCAGCCUGUCUUCGUUGAGUCGCGUUCUUUGUGAUUGGAGCGCUAUGUGGGUGAUAAGUUUCAUCCAAAGCUAAAUAUGAGCAGGAUGCCGAUAGCAAACAAGUACCGUGAGGGAAAGAUGAAAAGGACUUUGGAAAGAGAGUUAAAAGUGCCUGAAAUCGCUAAGAGGGAAGCAGUCAAAAGAGCUGCCUUCUCAGAUCUGUUCUCUUGGAGUUCAGAUUCGUUUGUGGGGAUCGUUGGUUCAAAGGGCUAUUCUUGAUACGGUAUGAUGUAAUCUUUUUCUUGCAGAAAGAGCAUUCAUUAUACUUUAAGAGUAUAGUUCCUUUGUCGAGCGGUUAUGGCUGUUUUGGCUGGCCCGUCUUGAAACACGGACCAAGGAGUUUAAUAUAUAUGCGAGUAUAACGGUGGAAAGCCGGGAUGCGAAAUGAAAGUAAAGGUCAGGAAACCUUACGGUGGCACUGACAACCGACCGGAUCCUUGUGUGAAUGGUUUGAGUUCGAGCAUAUAUGUUAAGACCCGAAAGAUGGUGAACUAUGCUUGAGUUGGGUGAAGCCAGGGGAAACUCUGGUGGAGGCUCGUAGCGAUACUGACGUGCAAAUCGUUCGUCAAACUUGAGUAUAGGGGCGAAAGACUAAUCGAACCAUCUAGUAGCUGGUUCCCUC